CCGUGAUCCGGUUCAGGGACAGUGUCAGGUGGGCAGUUUGACUGGGGCGGUCGCCUCCUAAACAGUAACGGAGGCGCCCAAAGGUUCCCUCAGAAUGGUUGGAAAUCAUUCGUAGAGUGCAAAGGCAUAAGGGAGCUUGACUGCGAGACCUACAAGUCGAGCAGGGACGAAAGUCGGGCUUAGUGAUCCGGUGGUUCCGCAUGGAAGGGCCAUCGCUCUAGGGUUAAAAGCUACCCUGGG
RNAcentral lists this ribosomal RNA (240 nucleotides) under Halalkalibacter oceani. Its description in RNAcentral is "Bacterial large subunit ribosomal RNA". It matches the Rfam family "Bacterial large subunit ribosomal RNA", at positions 2233 to 2472 of the family's 2925-position model. The record is from Rfam by way of RNAcentral. Lineage: Bacteria; Bacillati; Bacillota; Bacilli; Caryophanales; Bacillaceae.